CUGAAAUGAUGAGAUUCCACUUCAUUGGUCCGUGUUUCUGAAGCACAUGAUAACAGUGCAAGUUCUGAUUGG
RNAcentral lists this small nucleolar RNA (72 nucleotides) under Tyto alba (common barn owl). RNAcentral's name for it is "Small nucleolar RNA SNORD18". It matches the Rfam family "Small nucleolar RNA SNORD18". From Rfam's summary of the family: U18 is a member of the C/D class of snoRNA which contain the C (UGAUGA) and D (CUGA) box motifs. It is encoded in introns of ribosomal protein L1 in Xenopus and human, and in introns of elongation factor 1 beta in yeast. The record is from Rfam by way of RNAcentral. Lineage: Eukaryota; Metazoa; Chordata; Aves; Strigiformes; Tytonidae.